GAUGAACGCUGGCGGCGUGCCUAAUACAUGCAAGUCGAGCGAACAGACGAGGAGCUUGCUCCUUUGACGUUAGCGGCGGACGGGUGAGUAACACGUAGGUAACCUACCUAUAAGACUGGGAUAACUUCGGGAAACCGGAGCUAAUACCGGAUAAUAUUUCGAACCGCAUGGUUCGAUAGUGAAAGAUGGCUUUGCUGUCACUUAUAGAUGGAACCGCGCCGGAUUAGCUAGUUGGUAAGGUAACGGCUUACCAAGGCAACGAUCCGUAGCCGACCUGAGAGGGUGAUCGGCCACACUGGAACUGAGACACGGUCCAGACUCCUACGGGAGGCAGCAGUAGGGAAUCUUCCGCAAUGGGCGAAAGCCUGACGGAGCAACGCCGCGUGAGUGAUGAAGGUCUUCGGAUCGUAAAACUCUGUUAUUAGGGAAGAACAAACGUGUAAGUAACUGUGCACGUCUUGACGGUACCUAAUCAGAAAGCCACGGCUAACUACGUG
RNAcentral lists this ribosomal RNA (497 nucleotides) under uncultured bacterium. RNAcentral describes it as "partial 16S ribosomal RNA". It matches the Rfam family "Bacterial small subunit ribosomal RNA", at positions 28 to 507 of the family's 1533-position model. The record is from RNAcentral.